Molecule: ribosomal RNA, 1500 nt
Filed under: metagenome
Description: bacterial SSU rRNA
Rfam family: Bacterial small subunit ribosomal RNA
Source: RNAcentral
AGAGUUUGAUCAUGGCUCAGAUUGAACGCUGGCGGCAGGCCCAACACAUGCAAGUCGAACGGUAACAGGAAGAAGCUUGCUUCUUUGCUGACGAGUGGCGGACGGGUGAGUAAUGUCUGGGAAACUGCCUGAUGGAGGGGGAUAACUACUGGAAACGGUAGCUAAUACCGCAUAACGUCGCAAGACCAAAGAGGGGGACCUUCGGGCCUCUUGCCAUCGGAUGUGCCCAGAUGGGAUUAGCUAGUAGGUGGGGUAACGGCUCACCUAGGCGACGAUCCCUAGCUGGUCUGAGAGGAUGACCAGCCACACUGGAACUGAGACACGGUCCAGACUCCUACGGGAGGCAGCAGUGGGGAAUAUUGCACAAUGGGCGCAAGCCUGAUGCAGCCAUGCCGCGUGUAUGAAGAAGGCCUUCGGGUUGUAAAGUACUUUCAGCGGGGAGGAAGGGAGUAAAGUUAAUACCUUUGCUCAUUGACGUUACCCGCAGAAGAAGCACCGGCUAACUCCGUGCCAGCAGCCGCGGUAAUACGGAGGGUGCAAGCGUUAAUCGGAAUUACUGGGCGUAAAGCGCACGCAGGCGGUUUGUUAAGUCAGAUGUGAAAUCCCCGGGCUCAACCUGGGAACUGCAUCUGAUACUGGCAAGCUUGAGUCUCGUAGAGGGGGGUAGAAUUCCAGGUGUAGCGGUGAAAUGCGUAGAGAUCUGGAGGAAUACCGGUGGCGAAGGCGGCCCCCUGGACGAAGACUGACGCUCAGGUGCGAAAGCGUGGGGAGCAAACAGGAUUAGAUACCCUGGUAGUCCACGCCGUAAACGAUGUCGACUUGGAGGUUGUGCCCUUGAGGCGUGGCUUCCGGAGCUAACGCGUUAAGUCGACCGCCUGGGGAGUACGGCCGCAAGGUUAAAACCCAAAUGAAUUGACGGGGGCCCGCACAAGCGGUGGAGCAUGUGGUUUAAUUCGAUGCAACGUGAAGAACCUUACCUGGUCUUGACAUCCACGGAAGUUUUCAGAGAUGAGAAUGUGCCUUCGGGAACCGUGAGACAGGUGCUGCAUGGCUGUCGUCAGCUCGUGUUGUGAAAUGUUGGGUUAAGUCCCGCAACGAGCGCAACCCUUAUCCUUUGUUGCCAGCGGUCCGGCCGGGAACUCAAAGGAGACUGCCAGUGAUAAACUGGAGGAAGGUGGGGAUGACGUCAAGUCAUCAUGGCCCUUGCGACCAGGGCUACACACGUGCUACAAUGGCGCAUACAAAGAGAAGCGACCUCGGGAGAGCAAGCGGACCUCAUAAAGUGCGUCGUAGUCCGGAUUGGAGUCUGCAACUCGACUCCAUGAAGUCGGAAUCGCUAGUAAUCGUGGAUCAGAAUGCCACGGUGAAUACGUUCCCGGGCCUUGUACACACCGCCCGUCACACCAUGGGAGUGGGUUGCAAAAGAAGUAGGUAGCUUAACCUUCGGGAGGGCGCUUACCACUUUGUGAUUCAUGACUGGGGUGAAGUCGAAACAAGGUA